GGGUUGUGAGGUUAAGCGACUAAGCGUACACGGUGGAUGCCCUGGCAGUCAGAGGCGAUGAAGGACGUGCUAAUCUGCGAUAAGCGUCGGUGAGGUGAUAUGAACCGUUAUAACCGGCGAUUUCCGAAUGGGGAAACCCAGUGUGUUUCGACACACUAUCAUUAACUGAAUCCAUAAGUUAAUGAGGCGAACCGGGGGAACUGAAACAUCUAAGUACCCCGAGGAAAAGAAAUCAACCGAGAUUCCCCCAGUAGCGGCGAGCGAACGGGGAGGAGCCCAGAGCCUGAAUCAGUGUGUGUGUUAGUGGAAGCGUCUGGAAAGGCGCGCGAUACAGGGUGACAGCCCCGUACACAAAAAUGCACAUGCUGUGAGCUCGAUGAGUAGGGCGGGACACGUGGUAUCCUGUCUGAAUAUGGGGGGACCAUCCUCCAAGGCUAAAUACUCCUGACUGACCGAUAGUGAACCAGUACCGUGAGGGAAAGGCGAAAAGAACCCCGGCGAGGGGAGUGAAAAAGAACCUGAAACCGUGUACGUACAAGCAGUGGGAGCCUCUUAAUGGGGUGACUGCGUACCUUUUGUAUAAUGGGUCAGCGACUUAUAUUCUGUAGCAAGGUUAACCGAAUAGGGGAGCCGAAGGGAAACCGAGUCUUAACUGGGCGUUAAGUUGCAGGGUAUAGACCCGAAACCCGGUGAUCUAGCCAUGGGCAGGUUGAAGGUUGGGUAACACUAACUGGAGGACCGAACCGACUAAUGUUGAAAAAUUAGCGGAUGACUUGUGGCUGGGGGUGAAAGGCCAAUCAAACCGGGAGAUAGCUGGUUCUCCCCGAAAGCUAUUUAGGUAGCGCCUCGUGAAUUCAUCUCCGGGGGUAGAGCACUGUUUCGGCAAGGGGGUCAUCCCGACUUACCAACCCGAUGCAAACUGCGAAUACCGGAGAAUGUUAUCACGGGAGACACACGGCGGGUGCUAACGUCCGUCGUGAAGAGGGAAACAACCCAGACCGCCAGCUAAGGUCCCAAAGUCAUGGUUAAGUGGGAAACGAUGUGGGAAGGCCCAGACAGCCAGGAUGUUGGCUUAGAAGCAGCCAUCAUUUAAAGAAAGCGUAAUAGCUCACUGGUCGAGUCGGCCUGCGCGGAAGAUGUAACGGGGCUAAACCAUGCACCGAAGCUGCGGCAGCGACACUAUGUGUUGUUGGGUAGGGGAGCGUUCUGUAAGCCUGUGAAGGUGGCCUGUGAGGGUUGCUGGAGGUAUCAGAAGUGCGAAUGCUGACAUAAGUAACGAUAAAGCGGGUGAAAAGCCCGCUCGCCGGAAGACCAAGGGUUCCUGUCCAACGUUAAUCGGGGCAGGGUGAGUCGACCCCUAAGGCGAGGCCGAAAGGCGUAGUCGAUGGGAAACAGGUUAAUAUUCCUGUACUUGGUGUUACUGCGAAGGGGGACGGAGAAGGCUAUGUUGGCCGGGCGACGGUUGUCCCGGUUUAAGCGUGUAGGCUGGUUUUCCAGGCAAAUCCGGAAAACCAAGGCUGAGGCGUGAUGACGAGGCACUACGGUGCUGAAGCGACAAAUGCCCUGCUUCCAGGAAAAGCCUCUAAGCAUCAGGUAACAUCAAAUCGUACCCCAAACCGACACAGGUGGUCAGGUAGAGAAUACCAAGGCGCUUGAGAGAACUCGGGUGAAGGAACUAGGCAAAAUGGUGCCGUAACUUCGGGAGAAGGCACGCUGAUAUGUAGGUGAAGCGACUUGCUCGUGGAGCUGAAAUCAGUCGAAGAUACCAGCUGGCUGCAACUGUUUAUUAAAAACACAGCACUGUGCAAACACGAAAGUGGACGUAUACGGUGUGACGCCUGCCCGGUGCCGGAAGGUUAAUUGAUGGGGUUAGCGGCAACGCGAAGCUCUUGAUCGAAGCCCCGGUAAACGGCGGCCGUAACUAUAACGGUCCUAAGGUAGCGAAAUUCCUUGUCGGGUAAGUUCCGACCUGCACGAAUGGCGUAAUGAUGGCCAGGCUGUCUCCACCCGAGACUCAGUGAAAUUGAACUCGCUGUGAAGAUGCAGUGUACCCGCGGCAAGACGGAAAGACCCCGUGAACCUUUACUAUAGCUUGACACUGAACAUUGAGCCUUGAUGUGUAGGAUAGGUGGGAGGCUUUGAAGUGUGGACGCCAGUCUGCAUGGAGCCGACCUUGAAAUACCACCCUUUAAUGUUUGAUGUUCUAACGUUGGCCCGUAAUCCGGGUUGCGGACAGUGUCUGGUGGGUAGUUUGACUGGGGCGGUCUCCUCCUAAAGAGUAACGGAGGAGCACGAAGGUUGGCUAAUCCUGGUCGGACAUCAGGAGGUUAGUGCAAUGGCAUAAGCCAGCUUGACUGCGAGCGUGACGGCGCGAGCAGGUGCGAAAGCAGGUCAUAGUGAUCCGGUGGUUCUGAAUGGAAGGGCCAUCGCUCAACGGAUAAAAGGUACUCCGGGGAUAACAGGCUGAUACCGCCCAAGAGUUCAUAUCGACGGCGGUGUUUGGCACCUCGAUGUCGGCUCAUCACAUCCUGGGGCUGAAGUAGGUCCCAAGGGUAUGGCUGUUCGCCAUUUAAAGUGGUACGCGAGCUGGGUUUAGAACGUCGUGAGACAGUUCGGUCCCUAUCUGCCGUGGGCGCUGGAGAACUGAGGGGGGCUGCUCCUAGUACGAGAGGACCGGAGUGGACGCAUCACUGGUGUUCGGGUUGUCAUGCCAAUGGCACUGCCCGGUAGCUAAAUGCGGAAGAGAUAAGUGCUGAAAGCAUCUAAGCACGAAACUUGCCCCGAGAUGAGUUCUCCCUGACUCCUUGAGGGUCCUGAAGGAACGUUGAAGACGACGACGUUGAUAGGCCGGGUGUGUAAGCGCAGCGAUGCGUUGAGCUAACCGGUACUAAUGAACCGUGAGGCUUAACCUUACAACGCCGAAG
This 2924-nucleotide ribosomal RNA is filed under the name Escherichia coli. RNAcentral describes it as "bacterial LSU rRNA". It matches the Rfam family "Bacterial large subunit ribosomal RNA". Lineage: Bacteria; Pseudomonadati; Pseudomonadota; Gammaproteobacteria; Enterobacterales; Enterobacteriaceae. The record is from RNAcentral.